GUAGAGUAGCCUUGUUGCUACGAUCCACUGAGGUUAAGCCCUUGUUC
This 47-nucleotide ribosomal RNA is filed under the name Lentinula edodes (shiitake mushroom). Its description in RNAcentral is "partial 28S ribosomal RNA". The record is from RNAcentral. Lineage: Eukaryota; Fungi; Basidiomycota; Agaricomycetes; Agaricales; Omphalotaceae.